This is a non-coding RNA of Amborella trichopoda, 646 nucleotides long. The record is from RefSeq and is a predicted model, not a curated record. Lineage: Eukaryota; Viridiplantae; Streptophyta; Magnoliopsida; Amborellales; Amborellaceae.
AUAGCUGUAGCCUUGGUCGAUUUUAGAGCGAUUUGAAGCUGAGGAAAUGGCGGCGAGCAAUGUGCCCUCUAAAGAGGCAGGCGUGCUUGGCCACGAAGGCGCAGUGCUUGCUGCGCACUUCAAUGGCGAUGGCAACUACUGCCUCAGCUGUGGCAAGAUGGAUUGAUUGAGGCCGACAGUGUAAGAUUGUGCAACAAUUCUGUUGCUAAAGAAUGCCGAAGGAUGACUCCAGUUUUGUGCAGGAACAUGUAUUCUUUACAAGCUGAUAACAGUUAGCAAAUGGAAGCUGCUUCUUGUGCUGAAUAAUCACUCAACAUGGUGAAUACGUGGUGUCAAUUGAGGGACAACCCCAAAUUAUGUUCUUGUGGUGGUGAUAGACAAAUCUUUUAUUGGGAUGUCAACCGGUCGUGUAAUACAAAAAUUUCGUGGUCAUGAUAGUGUGAAGCAAAGGCUAGAGUCUUCUUAUAAGUGCUAUGUUAUUAUAUGCCUCACUGUGCAAAACAAAUUUUUAAGUAGAGGCAUAUCUCAUUGUCGGCGAGCAAGCCUCUUUUGGACCACGGAGGAUUGUUGAUGUAUUGGAGGGGAAUGUAUAUAUUGUAAGCUAGCGGAGAUCUCACUCUAGUGUGUUGACUGGAAGGUAAUGAUA